RNAcentral lists this small nucleolar RNA (69 nucleotides) under Ferroplasma acidiphilum. RNAcentral's name for it is "C/D box methylation guide snoRNA". The record is from RNAcentral. Lineage: Archaea; Methanobacteriati; Thermoplasmatota; Thermoplasmata; Thermoplasmatales; Ferroplasmaceae.
UAAUAUGAUCAUUAUACAACCCUUUUUCCAUUGAUAUUAUUGCUGCAUAAAGAUACCUGCCUACUGAAC